This 460-nucleotide ribosomal RNA is filed under the name uncultured bacterium. RNAcentral describes it as "partial 16S ribosomal RNA". It matches the Rfam family "Bacterial small subunit ribosomal RNA", at positions 338 to 795 of the family's 1533-position model. The record is from RNAcentral.
CCUACGGGGUGCAGCAGUGAGGAAUAUUGGUCAAUGGACGGACGUCUGAACCAGCCAUGCCGCGUGCAGGAAGACGGCUCUAUGGGUUGUAAACUUCUUUUAUAAAGGAAUAAAACGAGGCACGUGUGCCUUUUUGCAUGUACUUUAUGAAUAAGGAUCGGCUAACUCCGUGCCAGCAGCCGCGGUAAUACGGAGGAUCCGAGCGUUAUCCGGAUUUAUUGGGUUUAAAGGGAGCGUAGAUGGGUUGUUAAGUCAGUUGUGAAAGUUUGCGGCUCAACCGUAAAAUUGCAAUUGAUACUGGCAGUCUAGAGUACAGUUGAGGUAGGCGGAAUUCGUGGUGUAGCGGUGAAAUGCUUAGAUAUCACGAAGAACCCCGAUUGCGAAGGCAGCUUACUAAACUGUGACUGACAUUGAUGCUCGAAAGUGUGGGUAUCAAACAGGAUUAGAUACCCGGGUAGUC